Molecule: ribosomal RNA, 843 nt
Filed under: uncultured Staphylococcus sp.
Lineage: Bacteria; Bacillati; Bacillota; Bacilli; Caryophanales; Staphylococcaceae
Description: bacterial SSU rRNA
Rfam family: Bacterial small subunit ribosomal RNA
Source: RNAcentral
AGACGAGGAGCUUGCUCCUCUGACGUUAGCGGCGGACGGGUGAGUAACACGUGGAUAACCUACCUAUAAGACUGGGAUAACUUCGGGAAACCGGAGCUAAUACCGGAUAAUAUAUUGAACCGCAUGGUUCAAUAGUGAAAGACGGUUUUGCUGUCACUUAUAGAUGGAUCCGCGCCGCAUUAGCUAGUUGGUAAGGUAACGGCUUACCAAGGCGACGAUGCGUAGCCGACCUGAGAGGGUGAUCGGCCACACUGGAACUGAGACACGGUCCAGACUCCUACGGGAGGCAGCAGUAGGGAAUCUUCCGCAAUGGGCGAAAGCCUGACGGAGCAACGCCGCGUGAGUGAUGAAGGUCUUCGGAUCGUAAAACUCUGUUAUUAGGGAAGAACAAAUGUGUAAGUAACUAUGCACGUCUUGACGGUACCUAGUCAGAAAGCCACGGCUAACUACGUGCCAGCAGCCGCGGUAAUACGUAGGUGGCAAGCGUUAUCCGGAAUUAUUGGGCGUAAAGCGCGCGUAGGCGGUUUUUUAAGUCUGAUGUGAAAGCCCACGGCUCAACCGUGGAGGGUCAUUGGAAACUGGAAAACUUGAGUGCAGAAGAGGAAAGUGGAAUUCCAUGUGUAGCGGUGAAAUGCGCAGAGAUAUGGAGGAACACCAGUGGCGAAGGCGACUUUCUGGUCUGUAACUGACGUUGAUGUGCGAAAGCGUGGGGAUCAAACAGGAUUAGAUACCCUGGUAGUCCACGCCGUAAACGAUGAGUGCUAAGUGUUAGGGGGUUUCCGCCCCUUAGUGCUGCAGCUAACGCAUUAAGCACUCCGCCUGGGAAGUACGACCGCAAGGUUG